This 225-nucleotide non-coding RNA is filed under the name Clostridium cavendishii. RNAcentral's name for it is "T-box sequence". It matches the Rfam family "T-box leader". From Rfam's summary of the family: Uncharged tRNA acts as the effector for transcription antitermination of genes in the T-box leader family. Lineage: Bacteria; Bacillati; Bacillota; Clostridia; Eubacteriales; Clostridiaceae. The record is from RNAcentral.
UUAAAGUCUAAGAAGAGGAAAGUAGCUUUAAUGGUGAUCUCAAGCGAAUAGGGGUAGAGUGUAAGCCCUAUAGAUUAUGUUUUAGUGAAGUAGAACCUUGGAGAUGCUUUAUGAAAGUAUAUAUUAUGUAUAAGUAAUAAAAGCCGUUAAAUUCGUUAAGUUAUUAAGUGGGUAGAACAUUUCUACCAAAUUGAGUGGUACCGCGGAACAUAGUCCGUCUCUUUG